AUUGUUAUUUUAGCCUAUAAACGCCAUAGGCUAGGAUAAACAAAGUAUACAUAUAUUGCUGUGUGUAGUCUUUGCCUGUCAGCCCAUGAUAGGCUUUUUUUUUG
This 104-nucleotide unclassified non-coding RNA is filed under the name Xenorhabdus koppenhoeferi. Its description in RNAcentral is "RprA RNA". The record is from RNAcentral. Lineage: Bacteria; Pseudomonadati; Pseudomonadota; Gammaproteobacteria; Enterobacterales; Morganellaceae.